GUGCUCACUUCAGCAGCAUAUAUACUAAAAUUGAAACAAUACAGAAAAGAUUAGCAUGGCCCCUGCACAAGGAUGAUAUGCAAAUUCAUAAAUCGUUCCAUAGUUUU
This 107-nucleotide small nuclear RNA is filed under the name Bos indicus (zebu cattle). RNAcentral also lists the same sequence under 1 other name. The record is from RNAcentral. Lineage: Eukaryota; Metazoa; Chordata; Mammalia; Artiodactyla; Bovidae.